AGCUUUGCACAGUGGCAGUAUUGUAGCCAAUGAGGUUUAUCCGAGGUGCGAUUAUUGCUAAUUAAAAAUACCUUUCUUUUUUAGGACAUUUUUUCCCUCUAGAAGUUUUUUUCUGCCCUAUACAAUCUUCUUUAUUUCCCAUGUGG
RNAcentral lists this small nuclear RNA (146 nucleotides) under Zalophus californianus (California sea lion). Its description in RNAcentral is "U4 spliceosomal RNA (ENSZCAG00015024698.1)". The stretch from base 1 to 80 matches the Rfam family "U4 spliceosomal RNA". From Rfam's summary of the family: U4 small nuclear RNA (U4 snRNA) is a component of the major U2-dependent spliceosome. The structure of U4 snRNA from yeast and human has been reported. U4 snRNA presents a k-turn RNA motif in the 5p-SL related to recognition of Snu13 protein. The record is from RNAcentral. Lineage: Eukaryota; Metazoa; Chordata; Mammalia; Carnivora; Otariidae.